Molecule: ribosomal RNA, 253 nt
Filed under: uncultured bacterium
Lineage: Bacteria
Description: partial 16S ribosomal RNA
Rfam family: Bacterial small subunit ribosomal RNA
Source: RNAcentral
UACGGAGGGGGCUAGCGUUGUUCGGAAUUACUGGGCGUAAAGCGCGCGUAGGCGGCUUUGUAAGUUAGAGGUGAAAGCCCGGAGCUCAACUCCGGAAUUGCCUUUAAGACUGCAUCGCUAGAAUCAUGGAGAGGUGAGUGGAAUUCCGAGUGUAGAGGUGAAAUUCGUAGAUAUUCGGAGGAACACCAGUGGCGAAGGCGACUUUCUGGUCUGUAACUGACGCUGAGGCGCGAAAGCGUGGGGAGCAAACAGG